GAUGAACGCUAGCGGCAGGCUUAACACAUGCAAGUCGAGGGGCAGCAUAGGUGUAGCAAUACAUUUGAUGGCGACCGGCGCACGGGUGCGUAACGCGUAUGCAACCUACCUAUAACAGGGGGAUAAUCCGAAGAAAUUUGGUCUAAUACCCCAUAAUAUCUGAGAAGGCAUCUUUUCAGGUUGAAAGCUCCGACGGUUAUAGAUGGGCAUGCGUUGUAUUAGGUAGUUGGUGAGGUAACGGCUCACCAAGCCGACGAUCGGUAGCCGACCUGAGAGGGUGAUCGGCCACAUUGGGACUGAGACACGGCCCAAACUCCUACGGGAGGCAGCAGUGAGGAAUAUUGGUCAAUGGGCGAAAGCCUGAACCAGCCAAGUCGCGUGAAGGAUGAAGGUUCUAUGGAUUGUAAACUUCUUUGUCUGAGGGUAAAAAGCGGACGUGUCGUUCUUGCAAGUAUCAGACGAAUAAGCAUCGGCUAACUCCGUGCCAGCAG
RNAcentral lists this ribosomal RNA (491 nucleotides) under uncultured bacterium. Its description in RNAcentral is "bacterial SSU rRNA". It matches the Rfam family "Bacterial small subunit ribosomal RNA", at positions 28 to 514 of the family's 1533-position model. The record is from RNAcentral.